RNAcentral lists this ribosomal RNA (133 nucleotides) under uncultured bacterium. RNAcentral describes it as "partial 16S rRNA". It matches the Rfam family "Bacterial small subunit ribosomal RNA", at positions 358 to 508 of the family's 1533-position model. The record is from RNAcentral.
GGAAUAUUGCACAAUGGGGGAAACCCUGAUGCAGCAACGCCGCGUGGAGGAUGACACAUUUCGGUGCGUAAACUCCUUUUAUGUGAGAAGAUAAUGACGGUACCACAUGAAUAAGCACCGGCUAACUCCGUGC